CUUGUGCAAAUACAGUGGGAGGUGUAUCGCAAGUUACUCUGGCUCUUAUAAAAAGGAGUCGCGACUCAUAAAAGGUUGGAAAACGCCGUUCUAAGGAGAAAAAGAAGCAGAAAGUAAUCUGCAGGAAAGGAGGCAGAAGGCAGCCCCAAAGUAGCAAUUAAAAUAUCAAUCUAGAAAGAGAUAAAGAAACCACCUGCUAUCAUCUGAUUGUUCGUGGGCUUUUAGAGUUCUGAUCUUGGCAGCAUCGUAGAGAUCUCUGUGAUAUCCCACGGGGUGGAGGCUCUAGCUGUGCAUGGGACUGCCAGACAAUGCACAGAAAGGUGUUUCAUACGUUCAUUUGAGUCACUUCUUGGAGAAUCUGAUGAAAGCUACAAAUUUCUGCCCCCCAAAAAUGCACAUAAACAUACAUAUUCCAACAUCGGGUCUAGAGUAUGCAAGCUAAUAAAAAAAGGCAAGAUUGCUUCUGAAAAUGUUAAUUUGGCAUGGGUCUUGUAGUUUGGGCCUAGGCUUUGUCUCCUGAGAGAGACCCUCAAAUAUUGGUGAAUUGGGAUGGCAGUCCUGCCCUCGUUUUGCUUGAAGCUUAGUCGCCAUCGGCCGCUAGAGGGCGCUGCACCACACGACGUAGAAGUGCCCGACCACGCUCUUCCCUCUCUCUUUCCGUCCGCUCUCGAGGCGAAGUCUUUUGGCCGCCGCGAGCCGCCGUAACAGCCAUGGCGCUCACUGCUGAGCCCUUGUCGGAGCGGUCCGUGCAGCUGGCGGUGCUGCUCGCCUUCGCGUCGGGAGUUCUGGUGGGCUGGCAGGCGAACCGAGUGCGAAGGCGGUACCUCGACUGGCGGAAGCGGCGGCUUCAGGACCAGCUGGCCGCCACGCAGAAGAAGCUGGACCUGUCUUGAAGGGGGAGUCACAGAUCUUCAAUAUCAGAAGCAUGGUAUUAGUUGUUCAGCAGGUGAUGCUUCUCUUAUAAUAGGAAACUCAUGUUGGGAAGGACAAUUUGCCUGCUGAAUUCAUGCCCGUUUGGUUGUUGUUAAAGACCUAAAGGUUUUGGAAUGAGGGGGAGAAAAAUAAGCAUUCUUAAGUAUUCAACCAGUUUCUGUAUCUGAUGUUUUUCCCCCUGUCACAUGUUGACAUGCCAUUAAGAGGGCAUACCAAUAAUCUCUUUUUGAAGAAAAGUUUCAUUUUUAGUUUCCUGGUGAUGAGGUUUCAGUUCAGAGCAAAAGGCUUGGCCAGGCUGCUUUGGGGCACUUGUUCAUAUGGAAAUCAGACAUGAUACACAGGUGUGAAGUUGCUCAUUUGGGUACAGUAGCAAUAUUUGUAUGCUCAAUGUGCAGAAAUUAAACUGCUAGAUCUUUUUCCCCAUUUAUUUCUGUGCCAUGAAAAGCAUGACACUUAAUUUUUAUGUGUGUUGUCACUAAUAUGGGCACCAUUGGUGCUAGGAAGCUCAUCAUUGUUUUCCUCUACUGAAGCAAUUGCAGUGUGUGUGUGUUUUUAAAUCACCAGGACUGCUUUGUAGCUUGUAAUCUUCAUUUGCAGUCCUAUAAGAUGCUUCCUCGAACCUGAUGCCCUCCAGAUGUUUUGGAUAUCAGCUCCCAUUAGUCCCUAGUAGCAAGGCCAGUUGUCAGAGGUGCUGGGACUUGUAAUUGAAAACAUUUGGGAGGCCCCAACUUUGAAAGGGUUGCUGUAUAUAAUCACCUUGGAUUAAAUCGUAUUGCAUUUGAUGAAAAUUGUUUUUGAGUAGGCUUAUACAGCUGGGCACUUUCAGACUGAAGUAGUAUACUUUUCAAAAUCACAAGACUCAGUUCUAAAUGUAGAUGUUGAAGUACAGUACUGGAGCUAGAUUGUCUCAUCUGUUGAACUGGAAGUUGCAGCGAAGCCCCUUCUGGAAUGCAGACAGACAUAAGCUUCAGUGUUUAAUGGUGGAUCCAUCCCAAUCUCCUCCUUGCUGCUGCUUGUGGUUAUGUGUCAGAAUAGUGUCCAUUCAAACAUUUUUCCCCAUUGAACGUUUUACGUUGAUUUCCUUCUUCUUUGCUUAUGUCAGAAGCAAUCCAGUGGUGCUUCCAGAGUGGAAGGAUCAGCUGAUAAGGUGAUGUUGUGGUCCAGGGAAUGUCUGAAUGUGCUCUCAGUCCUCACAUUCUUUUGGGGAGGCUCCUUCCUCGAUUUCCUUAGAGAACUAAUGUAGUACGAGGACAGAAAUGUUAAAUUUGGGAAAUCCAGGCUUAAGCCUUCACUCGGUCAUGAAACAUACUGGAUGGUCUUGGACCAGUCACUCUCUUAACCUGGCCUGCCUGACGGGGAAGAGGGAGAGCCAUGUAUGCUGCAUCAGGCUCACUGGAGGAAAGGCACGGGUGUAAUUAAAUAAAGAAAAUUAACUUUUGCUUUAAGAAUGGAAAACAUGUGGAAGGAAUAAACAACGUAUAUUUUCUUUCUUUUUCUGUUAAUAGGCAAAACGAAGUUGAAACCACAAGACACCUGAAAAUCAAUUCCACCUGCAUUUAAAGUUACAUUAAUACAUUUAAAGUUACUUUAAAUACAAAUAUACAGAAUUGUAUUCUUGCACACAAAGUUGUUCUGAAAAAAAUACACCUGGUAUUAGCUUCUGUGAUCUUAUUCACUGAAACUGGUAUCAGCAGAAACAUAAAGAAGUCUGAUCAAAUAUUUAAAUUGUUACUUUGUUUGGUUUUGUUAAUUUCAUGUGCUAUGUUUGAAAGACCUGGCUAUUUCAUUGUGUGACUCUGAAGGAAAUAUAGUAACUUGAGUGUUGCCAAUGAAAUUCUGUGUAUGAAUAAAUAAAAUAAAUAUUUUAAGACAUUA
Molecule: non-coding RNA, 2808 nt
Organism: Pogona vitticeps (central bearded dragon)
Lineage: Eukaryota; Metazoa; Chordata; Lepidosauria; Squamata; Agamidae
Source: RefSeq, a predicted model, not a curated record